CCUACGGGGGGCAGCAGUGAGGAAUAUUGGUCAAUGGACGAGAGUCUGAACCAGCCAAGUAGCGUGAAGGAUGACUGCCCUAUGGGUUGUAAACUUCUUUUAUAUGGGAAUAAAAUGUUCCACGUGUGGGAUUUUGUAUGUACCAUAUGAAUAAGGAUCGGCUAACUCCGUGCCAGCAGCCGCGGUAAUACGGAGGAUCCGAGCGUUAUCCGGAUUUAUUGGGUUUAAAGGGAGCGUAGGUGGAUUGUCAAGUCAGUUGUGAAAGUUUGCGGCUCAACCAUAAAAUUGCAGUUGAAACUGGGAGUCUUGAGUACAGUAGAGGUGGACGGAAUUCGUGGUGUAGCGGUGAAAUGCUUAGAUAUCACGAAGAACUCCGAUUGCGAAGGCAGCUCACUGGACUGCAACUGACACUGAGGCUCGAAAGUGUGGGUAUCAAACAGGAUUAGAUACCCCAGUAGUC
This 460-nucleotide ribosomal RNA is filed under the name uncultured bacterium. RNAcentral describes it as "partial 16S ribosomal RNA". It matches the Rfam family "Bacterial small subunit ribosomal RNA", at positions 338 to 795 of the family's 1533-position model. The record is from RNAcentral.